This 341-nucleotide unclassified non-coding RNA is filed under the name soil metagenome. Its description in RNAcentral is "partial contains 5.8S ribosomal RNA, internal transcribed spacer 2, and large subunit ribosomal RNA". The stretch from base 1 to 121 matches the Rfam family "5.8S ribosomal RNA", at positions 35 to 154 of the family's 154-position model. The record is from RNAcentral.
GAUGAAGAACGCAGCGAAAUGCGAUAAGUAAUGCGAAUUGCAGAAUUUCCGUGAGUCAUCGAAUCUUUGAACGCACAUUGCGCCCCUUGGUAUUCCAUGGGGCAUGCCUGUUCGAGCGUCAUUUGUACCCUCAAGCUCUGCUUGGUGUUGGGCGUUUUAGUCUCGCGUUGCGUGUAGACUCGCCUUAAAGACAUUGGCAGCCGGCACAUUGGCCUUGGAGCGCAGCACAUUUUGCGCACCUAGUCAGUAGUUGUUGGCGUCCAUUAAGCCUAUACAUUUGCUCUUGACCUCGGAUCAGGUAGGGAUACCCGCUGAACUUAAGCAUAUCAAUAAGCGGAGGA